AUGGCAGCAGCGUGGCCUCCGCCACCGUGCACAUCCGAAUGGCCUUUCUGAGAAAAGUCUACAGCAUUCUUUCUCUGCAGGUUCUCUUAACUACAGUGACUUCAACAGUUUUUUUAUACUUUGAGUCUGUACGGACAUUUGUACAUGAGAGUCCUGCCUUAAUUUUGCUGUUUGCCCUCGGAUCUCUGGGUUUGAUUUUUGCGUUGAUUUUAAACAGACAUAAGUAUCCCCUUAACCUGUACCUACUUUUUGGAUUUACGCUGUUGGAAGCUCUGACUGUGGCAGUUGUUGUUACUUUCUAUGAUGUAUAUAUUAUUCUGCAAGCUUUCAUACUGACUACUACAGUAUUUUUUGGUUUGACUGUGUAUACUCUACAAUCUAAGAAGGAUUUCAGCAAAUUUGGAGCAGGGUAAGUUUUUUUUUUUUAUAGUGAGAUAAUGGAGUUGGUCUUAGCCGCUGCAGGAGCCCUUCUUUUCUGUGGAUUCAUCAUCUAUGACACACACUCACUGAUGCAUAAACUGUCACCUGAAGAGUACGUAUUAGCUGCCAUCAGCCUCUACUUGGAUAUCAUCAAUCUAUUCCUGCACCUGUUACGGUUUCUGGAAGCAGUUAAUAAAAAGUAAUUAAAAGUAUCUCAGCUCAACUGAAGAACAACAAAAAAAAUUUAAUGAGAAAAAAGGAUUAAAGUAAUUGGAAGCAGUAUAUAGAAACUGUUUCAUUAAGUAAUAA
Molecule: long non-coding RNA, 729 nt
Filed under: Homo sapiens (human)
Lineage: Eukaryota; Metazoa; Chordata; Mammalia; Primates; Hominidae
Description: long non-coding RNA NONHSAT163681.1
Source: RNAcentral